This is a long non-coding RNA of Pezoporus flaviventris, 851 nucleotides long. RefSeq lists it as uncharacterized. NCBI's taxonomy places the organism in Eukaryota, Metazoa, Chordata, Aves, Psittaciformes, Psittacidae. The transcript has 3 exons. The record is from RefSeq and is a predicted model, not a curated record.
UCUGUCAAUUAAGGGAACACAGAGCAAUCUGUGAGCGCUGAAAGGGAUCCCUUCAGAGCCCUCCGUGGCUGAGAGACAGGCCCAUUGUCUGCAUGCAUGUCUCACAUAGUUUCAGAGGCCUGAUAAGCAGGCAUGCCAUGAAAAACUGCAUUAUACGGGUCUGGUUCUGCAAAGGAAGCCUCUGGCUUGCCUUCUGGGGAGUAUUCAAGAGCUAUUUUGAUGAAUUCCAAUUAAGAGUCUUCCUGACACCAGGGGAUGUAGAGGUCAAAGAAUGCGUUUAGCAGCUCAGCAACAGACCACUUGGAGGACAGAUAAAGCUGGCAAAGCAGCCUCAUAAGGAGUCCGUGUGACCAGCCCAAGAUCAACCAGAAAGUUAGUGGUAAGAGAAAUCCGUUCUCCUCAUACGCCAUUCUUUGCCCUAAACUACAGUCCUGCCCACAGCUACCGAAUUGGCCACAUGAGCAGUAGCACUUCAAUGUACAUUUCAUUGGUCAUUACAACCUGAAUCAGUGUGUGUGUGUGUGUGUGUCUUCCCACAUGUGUUUUUAAAAAGCACAUCAUUAUCGGAGACUUUAACUAGGAAUCAUUAGCUGAUUGUUAUAUAAUGAAAGAAAAACAUCUCCCCAAACCAAGCACUUAACACCAGAAAUUUAAUGUAUAUCCAAUACCUAAGUGAAGACUGAAAAACACCUAACAGCUUGACUGAGAUAAUAUAUCCACUAAACUCUAUUCUCUGUUGUGGGGUAUUAAUUAGGGUUACUCUCAGGAACUCAGAGUCCAAAGUGUAUUAAUUCAGCUGACUGGCUUCUGCAGUACUUUGGCUUUGACAUUUCUUGGAUAAGGACAAACCG